GCAGAUGGUUCUCCUUCUGACGUAUUGUCAGAAGAUCAAUGGUAGCCUAUGUCACAGUGCCUACUUCCUCUCAUCACCUAGGCGUUUUAUCAUCCCACAUCAUAACCUUGUCUCCUGGUUCAGGUGGAAGACCCUGAGGACAAACCAUGGGAAAGGAAGCUACCCGCUCAAGCAUAAGGACUGCCCUGAGCCGGCAAGACAUCACCCACCAUUGACUCCAAGAGAGUGGUCCAUUUGACCUGCACUACCCACCCAUCUUUGCCCCACAUUUUCCUUAUGUAAAUCUGGAGGUACUUUCUGCACUCUGGAGAGUCUUUGACAGCCCAUGCUGUCUUCCCAGUGUGGGCAUCGCUGAAAUAAAUUCCUUCCUUGUUUCC
Neofelis nebulosa (Clouded leopard) is the source of this 377-nucleotide long non-coding RNA. RefSeq lists it as uncharacterized. The record is from RefSeq and is a predicted model, not a curated record. The transcript has 2 exons. Lineage: Eukaryota; Metazoa; Chordata; Mammalia; Carnivora; Felidae.